RNAcentral lists this ribosomal RNA (484 nucleotides) under uncultured bacterium. RNAcentral's name for it is "partial 16S ribosomal RNA". It matches the Rfam family "Bacterial small subunit ribosomal RNA", at positions 29 to 507 of the family's 1533-position model. The record is from RNAcentral.
AUUGAACGCUGGCGGCAUGCUUUACACAUGCAAGUCGAACGGCAGCGCGGGCUUCGGCCUGGCGGCGAGUGGCGAACGGGUGAGUAAUACAUCGGAACGUGCCCAGUAGUGGGGGAUAGCUCGGCGAAAGCCGGAUUAAUACCGCAUACGACCUGAGGGUGAAAGCGGGGGAUCUUCGGACCUCGUGCUAUUGGAGCGGCCGAUGGCAGAUUAGCUAGUUGGUGGGGUAAAGGCCUACCAAGGCGACGAUCGGUAGCUGGUCUGAGAGGACGACCAGCCACACUGGGACUGAGACACGGCCCAGGCUCCUACGGGAGGCAGCAGUGGGGAAUUUUGGACAAUGGGCGAAAGCCUGAUCCAGCAAUGCCGCGUGUGUGAUGAAGGCCUUCGGGUUGUAAAGCACUUUUGGCGGGAACGAAAAGGACUGUGCCAAUACCACGGUUCGAUGACGGUACCCGCAGAAUAAGCACCGGCUAACUACGUG